CCUACGGGUGGCAGCAGUGGGGAAUAUUGCACAAUGGGGGAAACCCUGAUGCAGCGACGCCGCGUGAGUGAAGACGGAUUUCGGUAUGUAAAGCUCUAUCAGCAGGGAAGAAAAAGACGGUACCUGAUUAAGAAGGCCCGGCUAACUACGUGCCAGCAGCCGCGGUAAUACGUAGGGGGCAAGCGUUAUCCGGAUUUACUGGGUGUAAAGGGAGCGUAGGCGGGGGCGCAAGUCUGAAGUGAAAUGCCGGGGCUUAACCCCGGGACUGCAUUUGAAACUGUGCAGCUAGAGUGCAGGAGAGGUAAGUGGAAUUCCGAGUGUAGCGGUGAAAUGCGUAGAUAUUAGGAGGAACACCAGUGGCGAAGGCGGCUUACUGGACUGUAACUGACGUUGAGGCUCGAAAGCGUGGGGAGCAAACAGGAUUAGAUACCCGUGUAGUC
Molecule: ribosomal RNA, 440 nt
Filed under: uncultured bacterium
Lineage: Bacteria
Description: partial 16S ribosomal RNA
Rfam family: Bacterial small subunit ribosomal RNA
Source: RNAcentral